UUGAACGCUGGCGGAAUGCUUUACACAUGCAAGUCGAGCGGCAGCGCGGGGCAACCUGGCGGCGAGCGGCGAACGGGUGAGUAAUAUAUCGGAACGUACCCUGUCGUGGGGGAUAACACAUCGAAAGAUGUGCUAAUACCGCAUACGACCUGAGGGUGAAAGCGGGGGAUCGCAAGACCUCGCGCGAUAGGAGCGGCCGAUAUCGGAUUAGCUAGUUGGUGGGGUAAAGGCCUACCAAGGCGACGAUCCGUAGCGGGUCUGAGAGGAUGAUCCGCCACACUGGGACGGAGACACGGCCCAGACUCCUACGGGAGGCAGCAGUGGGGAAUUUUGGACAAUGGGGGCAACCCUGAUCCAGCCAUGCCGCGUGAGUGAAGAAGGCCUUCGGGUUGUAAAGCUCUUUCAGCAGGAACGAAACGGUGGCUACUAAUACUAGCUACUAAUGACGGUACCUGAAGAAGAAGCACCGGCUAACUACGU
RNAcentral lists this ribosomal RNA (480 nucleotides) under uncultured bacterium. Its description in RNAcentral is "bacterial SSU rRNA". It matches the Rfam family "Bacterial small subunit ribosomal RNA", at positions 29 to 506 of the family's 1533-position model. The record is from RNAcentral.